CCUACGGGAGGCUGCAGUGGGGAAUAUUCGGCAAUGGGCGCAAGCCUGACCCAGCAACGCCGCGUGAAGGAAGAAGGCUUUCGGGUUGUAAACUUCUGUUAUGAGGGAAGAGCAGAAGACGGUACCUCUUGAAUAAGCCACGGCUAACUACGUGCCAGCAGCCGCGGUAAUACGUAGGUGGCAAGCGUUGUCCGGAUUUACUGGGUGUAAAGGGCGUGUAGCCGGGCUGACAAGUCAGAUGUGAAAUCCCGUGGCUCAACCACGGAACUGCAUUUGAAACUGUCGGUCUUGAGUAUCGGAGAGGCAGGCGGAAUUCCUAGUGUAGCGGUGAAAUGCGUAGAUAUUAGGAGGAACACCAGUGGCGAAGGUGGCCUGCUGGACGACAACUGACGGUGAGGCGCGAAAGCGUGGGGAGCAAACAGGAUUAGAUACCCGAGUAGUC
Molecule: ribosomal RNA, 442 nt
Filed under: uncultured bacterium
Lineage: Bacteria
Description: partial 16S ribosomal RNA
Rfam family: Bacterial small subunit ribosomal RNA
Source: RNAcentral